GAGUAUAUAGCUCAGUGGUAGAGUGCAUGACUAGCAUGCAUAAGGUCCUGGGUUCAAUCCCCAGUACCUCCA
RNAcentral lists this transfer RNA (72 nucleotides) under Camelus bactrianus (Bactrian camel). It matches the Rfam family "tRNA". From Rfam's summary of the family: Transfer RNA (tRNA) molecules are approximately 80 nucleotides in length. Lineage: Eukaryota; Metazoa; Chordata; Mammalia; Artiodactyla; Camelidae. RNAcentral also lists the same sequence under 2 other names. The record is from Rfam by way of RNAcentral.